RNAcentral lists this ribosomal RNA (497 nucleotides) under uncultured bacterium. RNAcentral's name for it is "partial 16S ribosomal RNA". It matches the Rfam family "Bacterial small subunit ribosomal RNA", at positions 28 to 507 of the family's 1533-position model. The record is from RNAcentral.
GACGAACGCUGGCGGCGUGCUUAACACAUGCAAGUCGAGCGAACAGACGAGGAGCUUGCUCCUUUGACGUUAGCGGCGCAUGGGAGAGUAACACGAGGAUAAACUACCUAUAAGACUGGGAAAAUCUCGGGAAACCGGAGCUAAUACCGGAUAAUAUAUUGAACCGCAUGGUUAAAUAGUGAAAGACGGCUUUGCUGUCACUUAUCGAUGGAUCCGCGCUGCUUUAGCUAGUUGGUGAGGUAACGGCUUAUCAGGGCAACGAUGCGUAACCGACUUGAGAGGGUGGUCGGCCACACUGGAACUGAGACGCAGUCCAGACUCCUACGAUAGGCAGCAGUAGGGAAUCCUCCGCAGUGGGCGAGAGCUUGACGGAGCGACGCCGCGUGAGUGGUGAAGAUGUUCAGAUCGUAAAGCUCUGUUAUUAGGGGUGAACUAAUGUGUAAGUAGCUGUACACUUCUUGACGGUACCUGAUCAGAAAGCCACGGCUAACUACGUG